RNAcentral lists this ribosomal RNA (407 nucleotides) under uncultured bacterium. RNAcentral describes it as "bacterial SSU rRNA". It matches the Rfam family "Bacterial small subunit ribosomal RNA", at positions 976 to 1380 of the family's 1533-position model. The record is from RNAcentral.
UGGGCUAGAAUGCUGGGAGACCGUGGGUGAAAGCUCACUUUGUAGCAAUACACUGCCAGUAAGGUGCUGCAUGGCUGUCGUCAGCUCGUGCCGUGAGGUGUUGGGUUAAGUCCCGCAACGAGCGCAACCCCCAUCACUAGUUGCCAUCAGGUAACGCUGGGAACUCUAGUGAAACUGCCGUCGUAAGACGUGAGGAAGGAGGGGAUGAUGUCAAGUCAUCAUGGCCUUUAUGCCCAGGGCUACACACGUGCUACAAUGGGGCGUACAAAGGGCUGCAACACGGUGACGUGAAGCUAAUCCCAAAAAACGCCUCUCAGUUCAGAUUGAAGUCUGCAACUCGACUUCAUGAAGCGGGAAUCGCUAGUAAUCGUAUAUCAGCAAUGAUACGGUGAAUGCGGGCCCGGACC